UGAAUGAAGUGUACCACAAUAAGUUCG
RNAcentral lists this small RNA (27 nucleotides) under Bombyx mori (domestic silkworm). RNAcentral describes it as "ovarian small RNA-31151". The record is from RNAcentral. Lineage: Eukaryota; Metazoa; Arthropoda; Insecta; Lepidoptera; Bombycidae.